Eucalyptus grandis is the source of this 108-nucleotide non-coding RNA. The record is from Rfam. NCBI's taxonomy places the organism in Eukaryota, Viridiplantae, Streptophyta, Magnoliopsida, Myrtales, Myrtaceae.
UAUAUGCCUUCAAAAUAAAGAACCUUGAAUACUAUAAAAAAAAUCACCUAUACCUAACAGGAUUAAGUGAAUACCUAAAUUUGUGGUCAUUUUAUUUAUAUAUUUCCA